RNAcentral lists this ribosomal RNA (253 nucleotides) under uncultured bacterium. RNAcentral's name for it is "partial 16S ribosomal RNA". It matches the Rfam family "Bacterial small subunit ribosomal RNA", at positions 524 to 776 of the family's 1533-position model. The record is from RNAcentral.
GACGAACCUUGCUAACGUUAUUCGGAAUUACUGGGCUUAAAGGGUGCGUAGGCGGUGCGGAAAGUCGGGUGUGAAAUCCCCCAGCUCAACUGGGGAAUUGCGCCUGAAACUGCCGUGCUCGAGGAAGACAGAGGUACGCGGAACUUAGGGUGGAGCGGUGAAAUGCGUUGAUAUCCUAAGGAACACCGGUGGCGAAAGCGGCGUACUGGGUCUUAUCUGACGCUGAGGCACGAAAGCGUGGGGAGCGAACAGG